This 72-nucleotide transfer RNA is filed under the name Candidatus Helarchaeota archaeon. RNAcentral describes it as "tRNA-His". It matches the Rfam family "tRNA". From Rfam's summary of the family: Transfer RNA (tRNA) molecules are approximately 80 nucleotides in length. Lineage: Archaea; Promethearchaeati; Candidatus Helarchaeota. The record is from RNAcentral.
GCCGAGAUGGGGUAGUGGUAGUCCUAGAGGACUGUGGAUCCUCUGGCCCGGGUUCAAGUCCCGGUCUCGGCC